GUCAGUUUUUGCAUUGUGUGUGCAUCAUUUCACUGGGUGGGAAGGCUACUAUCUGUAUAUCAGACAUUCAUAUAGGAUACUGUACACUCUAGAACAAUAUGACAUAUAGGUUACUGUAGACUCUAGAACAAUAUGACAUAUAGUUUACUGUACACUCUAGAACAAUAUGAAAUAUAGGUUACUGUAGACUAGACCAAUAUGACAUAUAGGUUACUGUAGACUCUAGAACAAUAUGACAUAAGUUACUGUACUCUCUAGACAAAUAUGACAUAUAGGUUACUGUACACUCUAGAACAAUAUGACAUAUAGGUUACUGUAGACUCUAGAACAAUAUGACAUAUAGGUUACUGUACACUCUAGAACAAUAUGACAUAUACGUUACUGUACACUCUAGAACAAUAUGACAUAUAAGUUACUGUAGACUAGAACAAUAUGACAUAUAGGUUACUGUAGACUAGAACAAUAUGACAUAUAGGUUACUGUAGACUCUUGAAAGAUAUGACAUGUAGGUUACUGUAGACUCUUGAACAAUAUGACAUAUAGGUUACUGUACACUCUAGAACAAUAUGACAUAUAGGUUACUGUAGACUCUAGAACAAUACGACAUAUAGGUUACUGUAGACUAGAACAAUAUGACAUAUAGGUUACUGUAGACUCUUGAAAGAUAUGACAUGUAGGUUACUGUAGACUCUUGAACAAUAUGACAUAUAGGUUACUGUACACUCUAGAACAAUAUGACAUAUAGGUUACUGUAGACUCUAGAACAAUACGACAUAUAGGUUACUGUAGACUAGAACAAUAUGACAUAUAGGUUACUGUAGACUCUAGACCAAUAUGACAUAUAGGUUACUGUACACUCUUGAACAAUAUGACAUAUAGGUUACUGUACACUCUAGACCAAUAUGACAUAUAGGUUACUGUAGACUCUAGAACAAUAUGACAUAUAGGUUACUGUAGACUAGAACAAUAUGACAUAUAGGUUACUGUAGACUCUUGAACAAUAUGACAUAGGUUACUGUAGACUAGGACAAUAUGAGGUAUAGGUUACUGUAGACUCUAGAACAAUAUGAAAUAUAGGUUACUGUAGACUCUAGAACAAGACGACAUAUAGGUUACUGUAGACUCUAGAACAAUAUGACAUAUAGGUUACUGUAGACUCUAGACCAAUAUGACAUAUAGGUUACUGUACACUCUAG
RNAcentral lists this long non-coding RNA (1196 nucleotides) under Salmo salar (Atlantic salmon). Its description in RNAcentral is "lncRNA (ENSSSAG00000090543.1)". Lineage: Eukaryota; Metazoa; Chordata; Actinopteri; Salmoniformes; Salmonidae. The record is from RNAcentral.